RNAcentral lists this ribosomal RNA (403 nucleotides) under uncultured bacterium. RNAcentral's name for it is "bacterial SSU rRNA". It matches the Rfam family "Bacterial small subunit ribosomal RNA", at positions 28 to 419 of the family's 1533-position model. The record is from RNAcentral.
GACGAACGCUGGCGGCAUGCCUAAUACAUGCAAGUCGAACGCUGAAGCACUCUGCUUGCAGAGUGCGGAUGAGUGGCGAACGGGUGAGUAACACGUGGGAAAUCUGCCUAGGAGUGGGGGAUAACAUUCGGAAACGGAUGCUAAUACCGCAUAUCUUUUUGAGCCGCAUGGUUCUUAAACGAAAGACGGCUUCGGCUGUCGCUCUUAGAUGAUCCCGCGGCCGUAUUAGUUAGUUGGUGGGGUAAAGGCCUACCAAGACCAUGAUACGUAGCCGACCUGAGAGGGUGAUCGGCCACACUGGGACUGAGACACGGCCCAGACUCCUACGGGAGGCAGCAGUGGGAAUCUUCCACAAUGGGUGAAAACCUGAUGGAGCAAUGCCGCGUGAAUGAAGAAGGUCUUC